RNAcentral lists this small RNA (103 nucleotides) under Arabidopsis thaliana (thale cress). RNAcentral describes it as "ATSL235130". Lineage: Eukaryota; Viridiplantae; Streptophyta; Magnoliopsida; Brassicales; Brassicaceae. The record is from RNAcentral.
AUAAAAAAUUAAAAUAUCAUGAGACGGGAAGUAUAGCAGAACGGGUUUGGAUUGAUAGGAAAUACAUCGAGACGGGUUUGGAUUGAUAUAACACAGGUAAAAU